GACGAACGCUGGCGGCGUGCCUAAUACAUGCAAGUCGAACGAAGUCUUCGGACUUAGUGGCGAACGGGUGAGUAACACGUUGGUACCUACCCCGAAGUGGGGAAUAACUGCCCGAAAGGGUGGCUAAUACCGCAUAAUACCGCAAGGUUAAAGCAGUAAUGCGCUUCGGGAGGGGCCUGCGUCCCAUUAGCUAGUUGGUAGGGUAAUGGCCUACCAAGGCGACGAUGGGUAGCUGGAUCGAGAGGUUGACCAGCCACACUGGGACUGAGAUACGGCCCAGACUCCUACGGGAGGCAGCAGUAAGGAAUCUUCCACAAUGGACGAAAGUCUGAUGGAGCGACGCCGCGUGCAGGAUGACGGCCUUCGGGUUGUAAACUGCUUUUAUACGGGAAGAUUAUGACGGUACCAUAUGAAUAAGGACCGGCUAACUACGUGCCAGCCGCCGCGGUAA
Molecule: ribosomal RNA, 451 nt
Filed under: uncultured bacterium
Lineage: Bacteria
Description: partial 16S ribosomal RNA
Rfam family: Bacterial small subunit ribosomal RNA
Source: RNAcentral